UCAAUGCUGAGUAAUAAAUGACAAAACUGUGACGUCUUGGAAGGUGGAGGUAAUGUGUUACUUGUGAGAUGUCAUCAUUCUGAGAUCAUCACUGCAGCCUGUCAACUCCAGAGAGAGAAAUGCUGGAUACAACUGGCUUCUUUUUACUGUGUGUGUGUGCGUGUGUGUGUGUGUGCGUUUAAAUCAUAAGCGAUUACAUGAGACUUCUUAUUCUUCUAAACUUCAUUUCAAUGUACACGUUCAAGUUCCUGUCUUGUUACAGAUGGAGAAGGGAAGGAAAGUAGAUUGAUCAAUAAUUUAAAAAAUGUUCUGUGGCAAAAGGUACAGGAGGCCAGGAAACCGGUAUGAAAAUGUGUAGGUGUGCUCACAACCAACUCUUCAAACGCUCUCUUAAUUGGCAGAAUUUACAUCAGAAGAUGAAAAGCAUGAGUAAUGUUCUUGUCAAAAAAGAACAUUCUGGACUAUGCCAUACAAACAAGCAAUAAAGGGAGGCUGGAGUCCUGCCGACUCAGCCUCAUGAGUAAACAUUCGUGAGGUCAGUCCCAGUGUGGAAACACAGGCGGUCCUCUUUUUUGCGCAUUGGAAUCAAUACAAAGAGCCCAUUGCUCAUUCCAAAGAGAACGGAAGAGUCUAGGAAACUGAGAGGAAGCAGAUCAUGUCCAAUCCACCUCUGAGAUUCUGAGCCAUGGUGCAUGUGGAACCCUAGGAUCCCGGUUUGCAGGCUGGCGGUUGAUUUGGAAGUGGUCAUCUGCUGUGCAUUUACCAGAUAUUGAGCACUUUUGCUUAUCUUGUCUCAUUUAAUUUCCACUUCAGUCCUGAAAGGAAAUAACAAUAACAGUCCAGGGUUUGGAAUCAGACUGUGUCCAAACUCUGGCUUCUCCAUGUUUCAGCCAUGUGACCAUGGCCCCAAAAGUCACUUAUUCAUCGUUUUUGAGAGAAUCGUGACCACAUUGCCAACGAAAUGUGCAGAGAAGUGACACAUGAAAAGCAGCCAAACAUACAGAAGACUUGAAACCUCUUUUGAACAUCCUUUGGGCUAUCAAGAGAACAUAAAAUCUUCAGGACACCAUCUAAAUGUGCAAGAUUGUUUGAAGAAUGUAGUGGAACAGUUGGGUCUUUGGUGUGAUUGGGCCAGAGUAUGAAAAAGUCUUACAAAAAUAAUUUUCAUGUAUUUCUUCUCUUAUCUCUAUAUAUUCACUGAAUAUCACCCUUUUAUGACAAGUUGCUAUUGACAACUUCUCCAUAAUCUAGGUAACUUUGGGCAAUAUUGGCCCUGAAAAAUUUAUAGAAUGCUAGUAAUGCAUGUUAAAUUGAGUAUUCCCAAGAGUUUCCAUACAAUAUUACAUGUAUAUUCUUUUAAAUAAAAGCCCUGUAAGAUUAAUCUCAAUUUGUAUCAUCUCAGCACUUCACCUUUUGACAUAUUGCCAUGUAAGUGAAUUAUGUUUGUGGGCAAAAAUGAUGAAUAAUUGAAUACUCAAAUGAA
Manis pentadactyla (Chinese pangolin) is the source of this 1483-nucleotide long non-coding RNA. RefSeq lists it as uncharacterized. NCBI's taxonomy places the organism in Eukaryota, Metazoa, Chordata, Mammalia, Pholidota, Manidae. The record is from RefSeq and is a predicted model, not a curated record. The transcript has 6 exons.